CCAAUAAAGAAAAUAAUCCAAACUCAAGAUUCCCAAGAAGCAUUUCUCGCAAAGGGUUACUUCGAGGUGAUAAGAAGAAUGUUAAUAAUUCCAAUUCUACUUCCAUUGCCAGUGAUCAUAGAGAUUCUUUUGUUUCCAGCUCCUCCACUCCUGGAGGGUCACCGGAAAAUCUCACAGCAGUGACCGAGGAGUCCGGCGUUCAUCC
This is a long non-coding RNA of Hibiscus syriacus, 205 nucleotides long. RefSeq lists it as uncharacterized. The record is from RefSeq and is a predicted model, not a curated record. The transcript has 3 exons. Lineage: Eukaryota; Viridiplantae; Streptophyta; Magnoliopsida; Malvales; Malvaceae.